This 69-nucleotide transfer RNA is filed under the name Hyloxalus subpunctatus (Bogota rocket frog). RNAcentral describes it as "tRNA-Pro". It matches the Rfam family "tRNA". From Rfam's summary of the family: Transfer RNA (tRNA) molecules are approximately 80 nucleotides in length. Their secondary structure includes four short double-helical elements and three loops (D, anti-codon, and T loops). Lineage: Eukaryota; Metazoa; Chordata; Amphibia; Anura; Dendrobatidae. The record is from RNAcentral.
CAAGACAUAAUUUAAGUAGAAUGUUAGUUUUGGGGAUUAACUGCGAAAGUUAGAUUCUUUCUGUCUUGA